GAUGAACGCUAGCUACAGGCUUAACACAUGCAAGUCGAGGGGAAACGAUAUUGGAAGCUUGCUUCCGAUAGGCGUCGACCGGCGCACGGGUGAGUAACGCGUAUCCAACCUGCCCACCACUUGGGGAUAACCUUGCGAAAGUAAGACUAAUACCCAGUGAUAUCUCUAGAAGACAUCUGAAGGAGAUUAAAGAUUCAUCGGUGAUGGAGGGGGAUGCGUCUGAUUAGCUUGUUGGCGGGGUAACGGCCCACCAAGGCCACGAUCAGUAGGGGUUCUGAGAGGAAGGUCCCCCACAUUGGAACUGAGACACGGUCCAAACUCCUACGGGAGGCAGCAGUGAGGAAUAUUGGUCAAUGGGCGAGAGCCUGAACCAGCCAAGUAGCGUGCAGGAUGACGGCCCUAUGGGUUGUAAACUGCUUUUAUAAGGGAAUAAAGUGAGUCUCGUGAGACUUUUUGCAUGUACCUUAUGAAUAAGGACCGGCUAAUUCCGUGCCAGCCGCCGCCGUAA
This 508-nucleotide ribosomal RNA is filed under the name uncultured bacterium. RNAcentral describes it as "partial 16S ribosomal RNA". It matches the Rfam family "Bacterial small subunit ribosomal RNA", at positions 28 to 523 of the family's 1533-position model. The record is from RNAcentral.